ACGGAAGGCAGCAGUGAGGGAUAUUGCACAAUGGGCGCAAGCCUGAUGCAGCAACGCCGCGUGAGGGAUGACGGUUUUCGGAUUGUAAACCUCUGUCCUCAGUGACGAACAAAUGACGGUAGCUGAGGAGGAAGCCACGGCUAACUACGUGCCAGCAGCCGCGGUAAUACGUAGGUGGCAAGCGUUGUCCGGAAUUACUGGGUGUAAAGGGAGCGCAGGCGGGAUAGCAAGUCAGCGGUGAAAUGUAUGGGCUUAACCCAUGAACUGCCGUUGAGACUGUUGUUCUUGAGUGGAGUAGAGGCAAGCGGAAUUCCGAGUGUAGCGGUGAAAUGCGUAGAUAUUCGGAGGAACACCAGUGGCGAAGGCGGCUUGCUGGGCUCUAACUGACGCUGAGGCUCGAAAGUGUGGGGAGCAAACAGGAUUAGAUACCCUGGUA
RNAcentral lists this ribosomal RNA (436 nucleotides) under uncultured bacterium. RNAcentral describes it as "partial 16S ribosomal RNA". It matches the Rfam family "Bacterial small subunit ribosomal RNA", at positions 341 to 792 of the family's 1533-position model. The record is from RNAcentral.